RNAcentral lists this ribosomal RNA (494 nucleotides) under uncultured bacterium. RNAcentral describes it as "bacterial SSU rRNA". It matches the Rfam family "Bacterial small subunit ribosomal RNA", at positions 28 to 526 of the family's 1533-position model. The record is from RNAcentral.
GACGAACGCUGGCGGCGUGCUUAACACAUGCAAGUCGAACGAUGAUGCUCACAGCUUGCUGUGGGUGGAUUAGUGGCGAACGGGUGAGUAACACGUGAGUAACCUGCCUUUCACUCUGGGAUAAGCCUUGGAAACGAGGUCUAAUACUGGAUAUGACUUCUGGCCGCAUGGUUGGGGGUGGAAAGCCUUCGGGUGGUGGAUGAUGGACUCGCGGACUAUCAGCUUGUUGGUGGGGUUGUGGCCUACCAAGGCGAUGACGGUUAGCCGGCCUGUGAGGGUGACCGGCCACAUUGGGACUGAGACACGGCCCAGACUCCUACGGGAGCAGCAGUGGGGAAUAUUGCACAAUGGGCGAAAGCCUGAUGCAGCGACGCCGCGUGGGGGAUGACGGCCUUCGGGUUGUAAACUCCUUUCGCUCGUGACGAAGCCUUUCGGGGUGACGGUAGCGGGAGAAGAAGCACCGGCUAACUACGUGCCAGCCGCCGCAGUAAAAC